RNAcentral lists this ribosomal RNA (484 nucleotides) under uncultured bacterium. RNAcentral's name for it is "partial 16S ribosomal RNA". It matches the Rfam family "Bacterial small subunit ribosomal RNA", at positions 29 to 507 of the family's 1533-position model. The record is from RNAcentral.
AUUGAACGCUGGCGGCAUGCUUUACACAUGCAAGUCGAACGGCAGCGCGGGCUUCGGCCUGGCGGCGAGUGGCGAACGGGUGAGUAAUACAUCGGAACGUGCCCAGUAGUGGGGGAUAGCUCGGCGAAAGCCGGAUUAAUACCGCAUACGACCUGAGGGUGAAAGCGGGGGAUCUUCGGACCUCGCGCUAUUUGGGCGGCCGAUGGCAGAUUAGCUAGUUGGUGGGGUAAAGGCCUACCAAGGCGACGAUCUGUAGCUGGUCUGAGAGGACGACCAGCCACACUGGGACUGAGACACGGCCCAGACUCCUACGGGAGGCAGCAGUGGGGAAUUUUGGACAAUGGGCGAAAGCCUGAUCCAGCAAUGCCGCGUGUGUGAUGAAGGCCUUCGGGUUGUAAAGCACUUUUGGCGGGAACGAAAAGGACUGUGCCAAUACCACGGUUCGAUGACGGUACCCGAAGAAUAAGCACCGGCUAACUACGUG